This 273-nucleotide ribosomal RNA is filed under the name uncultured bacterium. Its description in RNAcentral is "partial 16S ribosomal RNA". It matches the Rfam family "Bacterial small subunit ribosomal RNA", at positions 524 to 796 of the family's 1533-position model. The record is from RNAcentral.
UACGAAGGGGGCUAGCGUUGUUCGGAAUCACUGGGCGUAAAGCGCACGUAGGCGGAUAUUUAAGUCAGGGGUGAAAGCCUGGAGCUCAACUCCAGAACUGCCCUUGAUACUGGGUAUCUCGAGUCCGGAAGAGGUAAGUGGAACUGCGAGUGUAGAGGUGAAAUUCGUAGAUAUUCGCAAGAACACCAGUGGCGAAGGCGGCUUACUGGUCCGGUACUGACGCUGAGGUGCGAAAGCGUGGGGAGCAAACAGGAUUAGAUACCCGUGUAGUCC